AGUUAAUGAACUUGUUAAAGUAUAUAUUUUGAAAAUAUAAAAAAGGGGCAUUAAUUCUCUAUUAACUU
This 68-nucleotide transfer RNA is filed under the name Elateroidea sp. 4 KM-2017. RNAcentral's name for it is "tRNA-Ser". The record is from RNAcentral. Lineage: Eukaryota; Metazoa; Arthropoda; Insecta; Coleoptera.